Molecule: ribosomal RNA, 434 nt
Filed under: uncultured Lachnospiraceae bacterium
Lineage: Bacteria; Bacillati; Bacillota; Clostridia; Lachnospirales; Lachnospiraceae
Description: bacterial SSU rRNA
Rfam family: Bacterial small subunit ribosomal RNA
Source: RNAcentral
ACGGAAGGCAGCAGUGGGGAAUAUUGCACAAUGGGCGAAAGCCUGAUGCAGCGACGCCGCGUGAGUGAAGAAGUAUCUCGGUAUGUAAAGCUCUAUCAGCAGGGAAGAAAAUGACGGUACCUGACUAAGAAGCCCCGGCUAACUACGUGCCAGCAGCCGCGGUAAUACGUAGGGGGCAAGCGUUAUCCGGAUUUACUGGGUGUAAAGGGAGCGUAGACGGUUUGGCAAGUCUGAAGUGAAAUGCGGGGGCUCAACUCCUGAACUGCUUUGGAAACUGUCGAACUAGAGUGCAGGAGAGGUAAGUGGAAUUCCUAGUGUAGCGGUGAAAUGCGUAGAUAUUAGGAGGAACACCAGUGGCGAAGGCGGCUUACCGGACUGUAACUGACGUUGAGGCUCGAAAGCGUGGGGAGCAAACAGGAUUAGAUACCCUGGUA